Molecule: ribosomal RNA, 253 nt
Filed under: uncultured bacterium
Lineage: Bacteria
Description: partial 16S ribosomal RNA
Rfam family: Bacterial small subunit ribosomal RNA
Source: RNAcentral
UACGUAGGGUGCAAGCGUUGUCCGGAAUUAUUGGGCGUAAAGAGCUCGUCGGCGGUCUGUCGCGUCGGCUGUGAAAACUCGGGGCUCAACUCCGAGCUUGCAGUCGAUACGGGCAGGCUAGAGUUCGGCAGGGGAGACUGGAAUUCCUGGUGUAGCGGUGAAAUGCGUAGAUAUCAGGAGGAAUACCGAUGGCGAAGGCAGGUCUCUGGGCUGACACUGACGCUCAUGCACGAAAGCGUGGGGAGCAAACAGG